This 466-nucleotide ribosomal RNA is filed under the name uncultured bacterium. RNAcentral describes it as "bacterial SSU rRNA". It matches the Rfam family "Bacterial small subunit ribosomal RNA", at positions 338 to 795 of the family's 1533-position model. The record is from RNAcentral.
CCUACGGGAGGCAGCAGUAGGGAAUUUUUCGCAAUGGGGGCAACCCUGACGGAGCAAUGCCGCGUGGAGGAUGAAGGUUUUCGAAUCGUAAACUCCUGUUGCAAGGGAAGAACGGCAGAAGUAGUGGAAUGGCUUCUGUGUGACGGUACCUUACCAGAAAGCCUCGGCUAACUACGUGCCAGCAGCCGCGGUAAUACGUAGGAGGCAAGCGUUAUCCGGAAUUAUUGGGCGUAAAGAGCAUGUAGGCGGUUUAUUAAGUCUGGUGUGAAAGCUAGUGGCCUAACCACUAAAUUGCAUUGGAAACUGGUAAACUAGAAUACUGGAGAGGUAAGUGGAACUCCAUGUGUAGCGGUGGAAUGCGCAGAUAUAUGGAAGAACACCAACGGCGAAGGCAGCUUACUGGACAGAGAUUGACGCUGAGAUGCGAAAGCGUGGGGAGCAAACAGGAUUAGAUACCCUGGUAGUC